GUGCUCACUUCAGCAGCACAUACACUAAAACUGGAACAAUACAGAGAAGAUUAACAUGGCCCCUGCGCAAGGAUGACAUGUAAAUUUGUGAAGUGUUCAAUAUUUUC
This is a small nuclear RNA of Apodemus sylvaticus (European woodmouse), 107 nucleotides long. NCBI's taxonomy places the organism in Eukaryota, Metazoa, Chordata, Mammalia, Rodentia, Muridae. The record is from RefSeq and is a predicted model, not a curated record.